Molecule: ribosomal RNA, 253 nt
Filed under: uncultured bacterium
Lineage: Bacteria
Description: partial 16S ribosomal RNA
Rfam family: Bacterial small subunit ribosomal RNA
Source: RNAcentral
UACGUAGGGGGCAAGCGUUAUCCGGAUUUACUGGGUGUAAAGGGAGCGUAGGCGGUGGUGCAAGUCAGAAGUGAAAGCCCGCAGCUCAACUGCGGGACUGCUUUUGAAACUGUAUGACUAGAUUGCAGGAGAGGUAAGUGGAAUUCCUAGUGUAGCGGUGAAAUGCGUAGAUAAUAGGAGGAACACCAGUGGCGAAGGCGGCUUACUGGACUGUAAAUGACGCUGAGGCUCGAAAGCGUGGGGAGCAAACAGG